This 1376-nucleotide long non-coding RNA is filed under the name Capra hircus (goat). RNAcentral's name for it is "lncRNA (ENSCHIG00000001453.1)". Lineage: Eukaryota; Metazoa; Chordata; Mammalia; Artiodactyla; Bovidae. The record is from RNAcentral.
UGGUUUUUUUUUUUUUUAAAUAAUUUUAUUUGUUUGUUUUUGGCUGUGCUGGGUCUUUGUUGCUACAUGGGCUUUCUCUAGUUGCCGCGAACAGGGUCUGUUCUCUAGUUGCGGUGAGCGGGCUUCUCACUGCAGUGGCUCCCCUUGUUGCAGAACACAGGCUCUAGGGCACAGGAGGGCUUCAGCGGUUUGCUCUGCGGCAUGUGGGAUCUUCCCAGACCAGGGAUCGAACCUGAGUCUCCUGCACUGGCAGGUGGAUUCUUUACCUCUGAGCCUCUAGGGAAGCCUCUCAAAUGAGGGGAGUGAUACCUUUAGGGGUGCUAUUUCCCUCUGUGCUCAGUCAUUGUAGAGGCUAGCCCUACUCCCCACCCACCACUUUCAUCUUUUCAGUUAGAUGUGUUUUCUUUUAUGAAAUGGUAGGAAGUUGGAGUGGAGGUCAGAGGGUCUUCCUUAGAGCAUUGCAGUAGCCUGGAGGGUGUCUUGCCCAUACAAAAAGGCUCAAAGGAUGUUGCUUAACAAAACAGCCUUUCAAAGAAUAUCCAGAGCCAGAGCAAGGUCCAGACUCCCUGGGGCUGUUUUGGCAUUUCAGCUGCCAUGUCAGAAGAGUGCCCUUGUGGUGCAUAGGGGUCAGUUUUCCUGAAAAACCUGUUCUGGGGACAGAGUCCACCCCAGGGGAGUAGGGAGCUAGGCAGCCAUCCCAGAGUGAGACCCCAUUAAUCUUUGCUCAGCUGAUUGGAAGGGAGCUGAAUAAUCAUUUAUGUGCUCAUUGCGACAGGCACCUGGGCUCCAGGUUGAGACAAGUGGCCUCAGGUAGCCUCGAUAUUAAUGCGGCUCAUUAUGUAGAUUGCUUCACUGGGAGAUGGGAGAUACGCUGCGGCCUUGGGAGUCCCUGCGGGGAAGGCAGGCUUUGUGGGACCCAGCCCUUGGCGCGCUCAUCGAUGCUCUGUCUGGGAAAACCGGGGUGUCCGCGCCAGUUCCUGGAGUGGCUGAUCCUCAUAGCUGCUUUCCCUGUGACAGUCUGCCUCUCCAGGACGAUCCUGGUGUGGCCGCUCACAGAGAGACGGGCCCUCUGGGAAGGAGAAGCUCCGGAGCCAGGCAGGCAGAAAACACUUCCACAAAGCGCAGCACAGGAGGUCCCACACCCAGACUCUGGAGACUGGCUGCAGGUGGAUGGAGCAUGGAACUUGGAGCCCGCAGAACUGGUUCUGGAUCCGGGUCUGGCUUUGGUUCCGGGGCAAAGUCUUGAAAGAUCCCUGGGCUGCAGUCUGCAGUUUGGUAGAAAGGGAUUGUCCUGGAUGCACCUAGGAGACAAUAGACGCAAAUGUGUGUUGGAAACAGGAAAGCUUGUAGUGUCCUCGAACAGUGGGUAAGGGAUC